RNAcentral lists this small RNA (360 nucleotides) under Histoplasma capsulatum. RNAcentral describes it as "hypothetical RNA". Lineage: Eukaryota; Fungi; Ascomycota; Eurotiomycetes; Onygenales; Ajellomycetaceae. RNAcentral also lists the same sequence under 1 other name. The record is from RNAcentral.
CUGCGGUGUUUCUUGAAAAUAGUCACUGCUCCCCCCCGAGGUUCCCGGGGCCGGCUUGAAGGUGUUCAAUAUCAUGGCGAGUUGUUGAGCACUAUGAUCCUAGCCUCUAGAAUCUCGGGGCUAAUGCCUUCACCGGGUAUUGAUGCGUGGUUGGCUUUGGAGUGUAGGUAAAGUACAUAUGUAUCAUCGGCCAUUAGCAAUUCAUACUUUGGCUCCGUUCUCAGCGGAUGUGUCAAUCAAGUAGGCCACGGUUGAAUAGCCCUCCCACCACAUGCUAGUUGCACAGCAAGUAAGAACAAUUUGGUCCUGGCAAAGCUGGAAGUACAUAGAUAAUCACAGACAUGGUCAUUCAUAGUUAAU